Molecule: long non-coding RNA, 154 nt
Organism: Leptinotarsa decemlineata (Colorado potato beetle)
Lineage: Eukaryota; Metazoa; Arthropoda; Insecta; Coleoptera; Chrysomelidae
Source: RefSeq, a predicted model, not a curated record
GGUAACGAAACAAAAAACGCCUCAAUUUUCCGAUAUCUGCCUGAUGAAGGUUUAUCCCAUAAGUAUCAGGUCUUCUACAAAGAUGAUGAGAACAAUGUUAGUUCUGCUCACCAUGCAGCUAUUUUCGUAUAUAAAUCUAUAAUGGCCACUUACG